UGGGGAAUAUUGGACAAUGGGGGCAACCCUGAUCCAGCAAUGCCGCGUGGGUGAUGAAGGCCUUCGGGUUGUAAAGCCCUUUUGGCGGGGACGAUGAUGACGGUACCCGCAGAAUAAGCCCCGGCUAACUUCGUGCCAGCAGCCGCGGUAAUACGAAGGGGGCUAGCGUUGUUCGGAAUUACUGGGCGUAAAGGGCGCGUAGGCGGCCUUGUGCGUCGAGCGUGAAAGGCCUGGGCUCAACCCGGGAAUGGCGCUCGAUACGACGAGGCUUGAGUGCAGGAGAGGAUGGUGGAAUUCCCAGUGUAGAGGUGAAAUUCGUAGAUAUUGGGAAGAACACCGGUGGCGAAGGCGGCCAUCUGGACUGCAACUGACGCUGAGGCGCGAAAGCGUGGGGAGCAAA
This 400-nucleotide ribosomal RNA is filed under the name uncultured bacterium. Its description in RNAcentral is "bacterial SSU rRNA". It matches the Rfam family "Bacterial small subunit ribosomal RNA", at positions 355 to 772 of the family's 1533-position model. The record is from RNAcentral.